AAUCAGUUUUGUCGAAAUAUAAUAAUUUAUACAACUUGGACAAUGUCAUCUCAUUGGGAAAAUAUAAUCAAAAAACCAAAGUAAAGGUCAUUUUUGCGGUGAAUAAAGUUUAUAGAAAAUCCAAUAAAUUUAGUGUAAUGUAUUCAGUCAAAUCGAAGGCGAAAGUAGAUUGCGAACCCCAUUAAGAAUAGUUUCCGAUUAGAUAAUGCGAAAAAAAAUCUAUCCCCUUAAAAUCGGGAUGGGGAGGGUUCCGGAUACUUGGACUUCCCUGUAACUACGGCUUCGGCUAUCCCAAAUAAAAUUAUUCGGCACGCCGUAUAAAAAAAAACCUUACUUGAUUGAUUGCAGCUCUGUUGUCGCAGCUCCGUGUACGAAUAACGUUAUCUGAAAGGACAAUAUUGAAGUCGCGUGAAAGUCGAUAAAUUCCUAUAAGGGAACGAGCUUUUGC
Molecule: non-coding RNA, 448 nt
Organism: Cinara cedri
Lineage: Eukaryota; Metazoa; Arthropoda; Insecta; Hemiptera; Aphididae
Source: the annotation of a GenBank genome assembly